GAACGCUAGCGGCGCGCUUAAUGCAUGCAAGUCGAGCGAUGAGACUCCUACGGGAGCACAUCAGCGGCAGACGGGUGAGUAACACGUAGAUGACGUACCCUCAAGACGGGGAUAACGGAUGGAAACAUGCGCCAAUACCGGAUGACCUUACGAUGUCAGAAUGGUAAGGAAAGCUACGGCGCUUGAGGAGCGGUCUGCGGCCCAUCAGCUAGUUGGUAGGGUAAAGGCCUACCAAGGCGAAGACGGGUAGGGGGUGUGAGAGCACGGACCCCCACAAUGGGACUGAGACACGGGCCAUACUCCUACGGGAGGCAGCAGCAGGGAAUAUUGCACAAUGGACGGAAGUCUGAUGCAGCGACGCCGCGUGAGUGAAGAAGGCCUUCGGGUUGUAAACAUCAAAAGAGGGGGAAGACCGAGGCCGGUACCCCUGAGAAUAAGCGUAGGCUAACUACGUGCCAGCAGCCGCGGUAAGACGUAGGACGCGAGCGUUAUCCGGAUUUACUGGGCGUAAAGCGUCUGUAGGCGGAUGUGUAAGUAGCGCGUGAAAGCUCCGGGCUUAACCCGGAGAGNCCGUUCAAUACUGCAUAACUUGAGGGUGUCAGAGGGGAGCGGAAUUCCCGGUGUAGCGGUAAAAUGCGCAGAGAUCGGGAGGAACACCAGUGGCGGAGGCGGUUCCCUGGGGCACACCUGACGCUGAGAGACGAAAGCUAGGGGAGCGAGCAGGAUUAGAGACCCUGGUAGUCCUAGCCCUAAACGAUGAAUGCUAGGUGUGGGAUCGAAUGGUUCCGUGCCGGAGCGAACGCGAUAAGCAUUCCGCCUGGGAAGUACGGCCGCAAGGUUAAAACUCAAACGAAUUGACGGGGCCCCGCACAAGCAGCGGAGCGUGUGGUUUAAUUCGAUGCUACACGAAGAACCUUACCUGGGUUUGACAUGUAGGUGGUAGUGAAUCGAAAGGUGAACGACCCUUCGGGGAGCCUACACAGGUGCUGCAUGGCUGUCGUCAGCUCGUGCCGUGAGGUGUCGGGUUAAGUCCCGUAACGAGCGCAACCCUUGCUCCUAGUUACAAGUGUCUAGGGGGACUGCCGGCGGAAAGCCGGAGGAAGGUGGGGAUGACGUCAAGUCAGCAUGGCCCUUAUAUCCAGGGCUACACACACGCUACAAUGGUCGGUACAAAGGGCAGCGAAACCGCGAGGCGGAGCGAAUCCGAGAAAAGCCGAUCGUAGUUCGGAUAGCAGGCUGCAACCCGCCUGCUUGAAGCUGGAGUUGCUAGUAACCGCGCGUCAGCCAUAGCGCGGUGAUACGUUCCCGGGGCUUGUACACACCGCCCGUCACGUCAUGGGAGUCGGUAACGCCUGAAGCCGGUAGUCUAACUGGAAACAGGAGACGCUGUCGAGGGCGGGACUGGCAACUGGGACGAAGUCGU
This 1423-nucleotide ribosomal RNA is filed under the name uncultured organism. RNAcentral's name for it is "bacterial SSU rRNA". It matches the Rfam family "Bacterial small subunit ribosomal RNA". The record is from RNAcentral.